This is a long non-coding RNA of Antechinus flavipes (yellow-footed antechinus), 3821 nucleotides long. RefSeq lists it as uncharacterized. The transcript is spliced from 5 exons. The record is from RefSeq and is a predicted model, not a curated record. NCBI's taxonomy places the organism in Eukaryota, Metazoa, Chordata, Mammalia, Dasyuromorphia, Dasyuridae.
UCUGGAGGACACGGACCAAGAGAUCGGAGGGGGAAGAUGAGCCCCAUGGAAGUAGCAUUGGGGGCAGGGAGGAGGGGCCCUGGGGCAGACCUACCUGGGACCUGCAGGUGCAAAGAUGGCUCCCAGAAGGCAGAGAAAUCUCAACUAGGAGAGAAGGAGGCAGAGAUCUCGGCCCAGAGAAAAGGAGGCAGAGAGAUCUCAGCUCAGAGGAGACAGAGAAAUAGCAUUUGAGAUGGAAGGAGAUGGAGAGAUCUCAGCUCAGAGAGGAGGCAGAGAGCUCUCAGCUUACAGAGAGAUCUCAGAUCUAAGGAAAACGCAGCAGAGAGAUCUCAGCUCAGAAGGGAGGAGGGAGAGAGAUCUCGGCGCCGGGGGAAAGAGCCCGAGAGAUCUCAGAUCUGAGGGAAGGAGGCGGAGAGACCUCGGCUCCCGGGAAGGAAGCGGAGAGAUCUCGGCUCCGGGGGAAGGAGGCAGAGAGAUCUCAGCGCUGAGAAGGAGGCGGAGAGAUCUCAGCUCAGAAGGAAGGAGGCGGAGAGAGCUGGGCUCAGAGGGAAGGAGGCGGAGAGAGCUGGGCUCCCGGGGAAGGAGGCACAGAGAUCUGAGCUCGGGGGGGAAGAAGCAGAGAGAUCUGAGCUCAGGGGGAAGGAGGCGGAGAGAGCUGGGCUCAGACAAGGAGGCAGAGAGACCGCAGCUCCCAGGGCUUCUGCUUCCAGCCCUCUUCCUCUGGGGAAAUAGAUGGAUUCACUGUGCCCUGAAUGGACCCGGAGUGCCGACAGUUGACUCACAGCAUGGCUGUUCUCCUAUUUCCUAGCAGAUUGUCUGCUUAACCUGAGAGCUUUGAAACUUGACUAUGAUAUUCCUGGUGAACUCUAGCAUGGUAUGGAAGAGACGAGUGACGGUCUGAGGUUGUAUCGCUAUGUUCCCCAGACUCCUCUGUACUGUGAAUUGGCUGAUGACUAAUGAGCUUAGAAUUCUGACUCAACGUCUUCCCACCUUGAUGACUUACAAAAAACCUUCCUCCAGUAUCACUUUCCUGACACCUACUGAAGUCUGAACUCCAGCUAAAGGCCAUAUCCCAUUGAUUAUCUGGGCACAUCUGCAUUUCAGGAGGCUGCACAUGGGAUUGGAAAAGUUCUACCUGUUCAGUAAAACCUUUGCUGGAUUUCUGAUCCUGAAAACAAUCAUUCCCUGAGGUCAUUUUCUUACACUGAUUUAGGAUUAAAGACUGAAUGAAUCUCUUUCCAAUUUCAUCAAAUUCACAGGCGCUCUUUGGAUUUUUAUCUACCUUGAUAUUAGAAUCAUGGAUUUCUCUCAACUUGAAGUCACAGGGACCAUCACUCAUGACUCUCUGCAGGUCACAUUCUUCCACAAAAUUCCCCGGCUUUCUAGUCAACUCAUUUACUUGGAAUCUGGUCUCUUCAUCUGAAAAAAACAAACAUUUAUACACACAUGACAUAUGAAAUGAUACAGUGAAACAGAUGUAUAAGCACAUAUAUUUAUGGAUACAAAAGUAUAUACAUUCAUAAUCAAAGCAAUAGUAAUGGUUACUAGAGACUUGGGAAGCUCAUGACCAAUGUAAAAGCAAGAACACUUCAUACCUGGACCGUAAGAACAAACAUUGGCAUUAAAGAGAAUGUCAUUAUUAAGAAGAAGAGAUGAACAGGAUGUGAGAGUGACCAAGGAGAUGUGCACGGCAGAGGGCUGGACCCGUCAUGGAUGCACUCACUCAGAGCUAAAUGUUCACAUUCCACAAAAGCAGCAUUCACAAGGCAGGGUGCCCACCAGACUGGGAGAUGAGUCUGUGGCUAAUUUGAAGGGAAAACUCCAACACUGGAACAGAAAAGAAGUAGGCAGCUCCCACAGAUUUGUUGUACAGUGCUGCAUUUACUCAUCUGAGUCAGAACACUUUCAGAUAUCUGAAUUGGUUGGAUGAAAAUGAUGGGGAAAUUCAGAAAGCACCCAACAAAAAAUGAGAACUCUCCAGGCCCUACCAACAGGCUACUUCAUCCAGCUCCAAGGCAGCAUGUAAUUCCAUCAAAAGACUUUUGUAGAAUCAGAUUAUCCUCAACACUGCCCCAAUCCAUCUUUUGAGGUACACAAUUACUGAUGUUAAUCUUAAGCAUAUAGUAUACAUUUCCAUUAAAAAAACAAUUUGUCCAUGUUAAAUUCCUUGAAAUUAAUCUUAUUAUGUUAAAUUUUCUAUUAUUAGUUUAAAAGUCCUGAAAAUGUAUAAAUUCAUUGAAUGUCUAUUUUUUUCAUUCAAUAAUUAUGGAUAAUUUUGUUGGUAGGAUAUUUUUGGCCCCAGGCCUAGUUUUUUGAUUGCCAGUAUAUAUGAUUGCAGGACAUGAGGUCUCUUACUGUGGCUUUUGCUAAGUCCUGCACAAUUCUAACUGUCCUUCAGAGUAUUCUAAUUGUUUUUUUCUUGUUUCUUGCAAAACUUUCUCUUUGAUCUGGGGGUUUCAAAAUUUGGCAAUAAUAAUACUAUGUGUUUUCGACAAAGGAUCUCUUUGAGGUAAUGAUCGGUGGAUUUUUUUUCUAUUUCUACUUUCAUCUCAUAUUCUAUCACUCUAGGACAAUUUUCUUGGAUUAUUUCUUGCAUUUUUGUAUCAAAAUUCUAUUUUUGGUCACAGCUUUCAGGAAGUUCAAUUGUUCUUAUAUUUUCUCUUCUUGAUCUGUUCUCUAGAUUUCUUAUUUUUCUCAUAAAAUGUUUCACAUUCUGUUCUAUUUUUUCAUUUUUUAUAUUGUUUUGUAAUUUCUUGUAACUUCACUGGCUUUCCCUUGCCUGAUUCUAAUUUUAGUCUUAAAACUGUAUCUCCUUUUCUAGUUGGCUAAUUUUUAAAAAAUAUAAUAUUGUUUUCUUGGAUGGUUUUUAUUUUUUCUUAAAAAUUUUCCUAAAUCUCUCUCAUUUGAUUUUCAAAGAUUUUUUUUUUGAAUUCUAUAAAUUCUCUCUGGGCAAGAGCCAUUACUCUUUGGGAAAAAGCUUUUUUUGCAUCAGUAUUUUCCUCUGAAGAUGAACCCAUCUUCCCUCCUCACAUAAUAAGUUUCUCUGAUUGGGUUCAUUCUUCUUUUUUUGUUUGUUUGUUUGUUUUUUAAAGAAAUGUUAGUGUAAGCACCUCUAACCCUGGAGUGGGGAGUUGGUGCCUUCAGCUUCACUUCAGCUCCCUUCUCUGACCUGGAACUACAAGUUUUAUAUACAUUUUUUGAGUAAAUGUCAUUGCAUUUUGUUUUUUCAAACAGUUUUAAGGAAAAAUCACUCAUUCUUAUACUUUCAAAUAUUUUUUAAAAUAAAAAUGAGUGCUGUGUUUUAUCAAGAUUUUUCUAAUCUUGUUGACAUAAUCAUAUCAUUUGUUAUUUUAAUUACUGAUGUAAUUCUGUGAAUAAUUUUACUUCUAUGAAACUAUUCCUGCUCAUGAAACUCAAUUGGGAACAAAGUACAAUCUUUACAAUAUACAAUUGUCAUUUUUAAACUAAUGUUUUAUUAGAAUUUUUGCAUCCAUGUCCAUUAACGAAAUUUGUCUAUAAUUUUCUCUCUUUAUUCUUUGUAUCAAUACUACAUUUGUUUCAUGAAAGGAGGCUGGUGAUAGCCUUCUUUGCCUAUUAUUCCAAAUCAUUUAUUUAAUAUUGGAAUUAAUUGGCCUUUUAAUGUUUGGUAGAAUUUGUAAAUAUGUCUAGUCCUGGCACAUUUUCCUUAAGAAGCUCAAUAUUCUAUUUCUUCUUCUGGUUAGCCUAUGAGAAUACGAUGUCAGCACUGCCAUCCCUCCACUACCAUUUGUUUCCUCCAAAUCAGUUUUUUCAGGACUUGUUUAUUAAAAAUAAUUCCUCCA